AGUGAACGCUGGCGGUAGGCCUAACACAUGCAAAUCGAACGGCAGCACAGUAAGAGCUUGCUCUUACGGGUGGCGAGUGGCGGACGGGUGAGGAAUACAUCGGAAUCUACUUUUUCGUGGGGGAUAACGUAGGGAAACUUACGCUAAUACCGCAUACGACCUACGGGUGAAAGCAGGGGAUCUUCGGACCUUGCGCGAUUGAAUGAGCCGAUGUCGGAUUAGCUAGUUGGCGGGGUAAAGGCCCACCAAGGCGACGAUCCGUAGCUGGUCUGAGAGGAUGAUCAGCCACACUGGAACUGAGACGCGGUCCAGACUCCUACGGGAGGCAGCAGUGGGGAAUAUUGGACAAUGGGCGCAAGCCUGAUCCAGCCAUACCGCGUGGGUGAAGAAGGCCUUCGGGUUGUAAAGCCCUUUUGUUGGGAAAGAAAAGCAGCAGGUUAAUACCCCGCUGUUCUGACGGUACCCAAAGAAUAAGCACCGGCUAACUUCGUG
RNAcentral lists this ribosomal RNA (492 nucleotides) under uncultured bacterium. RNAcentral's name for it is "partial 16S ribosomal RNA". It matches the Rfam family "Bacterial small subunit ribosomal RNA", at positions 29 to 507 of the family's 1533-position model. The record is from RNAcentral.